This 90-nucleotide transfer RNA is filed under the name Chloroflexota bacterium. Its description in RNAcentral is "Chloroflexi bacterium tRNA-Ser". It matches the Rfam family "tRNA". Rfam says of the family: Transfer RNA (tRNA) molecules are approximately 80 nucleotides in length. Their secondary structure includes four short double-helical elements and three loops (D, anti-codon, and T loops). Further hydrogen bonds mediate the characteristic L-shaped molecular structure. tRNAs have two regions of fundamental functional importance: the anti-codon, which is responsible for specific mRNA codon recognition, and the 3' end, to which the tRNAs corresponding amino acid is attached (by aminoacyl-tRNA synthetases). tRNAs cope with the degeneracy of the genetic code in two manners: having more than one tRNA (with a specific anti-codon) for a particular amino acid; and 'wobble' base-pairing, i.e. permitting non-standard base-pairing at the 3rd anti-codon position. Lineage: Bacteria; Bacillati; Chloroflexota. The record is from RNAcentral.
GGAGGGAUCGCCUAGUGGCCGAGGGCGCGCGUCUCGAAAACGCGUAGGGGCUUAGUCCCCUCGUGGGUUCGAAUCCCACUCCCUCCGCCU